AUGAUAAAAACCCUUAUUAGUAAAGAGAAUGGAGAACAUGUGGAGGAGGUUGCAAGUAGUUAUUUCAACGAGCUUGUCAACAGGAGCCUUAUUCAACCUGUAAGAUUUGACAACUGUGGAUUGGUGACACAUUGCAAAGUUCAUGAUAUGAUGCGUGAUCUUAUCUUGUAUAAAUGUGCAGAAGAGAAUUUUCUCACCAUAGUGGAUGACCCUCAAGCCAUCACAAAACUGGAUAACAAGGUUCGUCGACUGUCUCUCCACCUGCAUGACGAUUGUGAAACUGAUCGAACAAAGUUAUGGGGUAACAUUAGUCUGUCCCAAGUUCGGACUUUUAUGACCUUUACUUAUUGUGAGGAUAUGCCUCCUCUGUCACUGUUCAAAUUCCUUCGAGUUCUGCAUAUUGAACAUUAUGGAGUUAAUAGAGUUGACUUGACUGGACUGCCUAACAUGCACCAGCUGAGAUAUUUAGCGGUUCAUGAUGGUUGGGAUGUCGAGCUACCAACACAGAUCACAGGGCUACGACACUUGGAAACAUUUGAUGUAUAUGAAAAUGUCCGUCAUCCAUUCGACAUAGUUCAUCUACCAUGCCUGAUGUUCUUGAAUGUGAGUUGGUAUGCCGCUCGAACACCUUAUGGCAUUGGUAACAUGAAGUCCCUGCGAUAUGUAGAAGAUUUCAAUUUGAUGGACAACUCAAUAGAUAACAUCGAGAGUCUUGGAGAGCUAGCCAGUCUGAGAGUUAUAUCAGUAUACGGCUACCGGCCUUAUGCGGCCAGCAUGAAUAGACGCAUGGAUGCUCUGUGCUCUUCUUUGGGGAAAGUCGGUAUCAGCUUGGAGUACCUGGGUUUGUAUAUCGAAGGCUGCGUGGAUGCCUUGAUGGACUUGUCACCUCCUCCUCGCCGCCUUGAGAGACUCUGGAUGGGUGAUAGGAUAAAAGAUUACAUUGAUGGGGAACUUGAUCCUCCCGAUUGGCCGGCAGAACUGGGCAGCUCCUUUUUCUCGGGCCAUGGUUGGAAUGCAGAUGCGGAUGAGUGCUGCUUCUUUUCCAGGGUCCCUAAUUGGAUGGGGGAACUCAGUAACCUCAAAGAACUGGAAAUCAAUGUCAUCAAGCCUGAUGUUGGCAUUCUGGCAGAAUUGCCUGCCCUCACUUUGCUCAGAAUAUACAUCAUCCAAGGAUUAAGAGAAUUCUUUGUCAUCCACGCGAGAGAAUUCCCUGUUCUAAAACAUUUAGAACUCCGGUUGAGCAGCCCGUCGUACCUGGCCUUCCAGGCUGGUGCAAUGCCCAAGCUCCAGUGGCUCAGGCUGCAGUUCAGCAGUGUAGGGUGUCACCAGAACGCGCGUGGACCAGCCGGCAUGCAGCACUUGUCAGCGCUUGAAGAUUUUUUCGCAAUAAGUAACAGCGACUACCGUGCUACGGAGUAUGAAAAGACAUGUGCCGAGUCUGCCUUGAAGGGUGCUAUCAAGUUGCAUCCCAAGCAUCCUCGCCUUCACAUCAACAGUUCGUAUGAUCAUUAUUUUAAGUAG
This 1521-nucleotide ribosomal RNA is filed under the name Triticum aestivum (bread wheat). Its description in RNAcentral is "partial small subunit ribosomal RNA". The record is from RNAcentral. Lineage: Eukaryota; Viridiplantae; Streptophyta; Magnoliopsida; Poales; Poaceae.